Molecule: long non-coding RNA, 1436 nt
Organism: Microcebus murinus (gray mouse lemur)
Lineage: Eukaryota; Metazoa; Chordata; Mammalia; Primates; Cheirogaleidae
Source: RefSeq, a predicted model, not a curated record
AAAAAAAAAAAAGGAAAAAGGAAAAAGAAUUUUGCUAUUCUCAAGCUAAUAGAGGAAUUAAUUAAAAAUAAUAAUAGUGGUUUAUAGAGCACUUUAAGUGGUGUGGCGUAAGGAACAUCUUCCAAGCCUGACACUGUAUCUCUGUGGUCAUCUGAUUAUCCAUAUUUAGAGGUGACGUCAAAAAUCCCAAUCUGCGGCCCUGCUGGAGCCCCUGUAGUAGACCCUGGGCAUCGACCGGAUGACUGUCCUCCACUGGAGGUGCUCCCUUGGGCCCCCAGAGUGCAUUUCCUGUGUCCUCAUAGCAUGUGUUACAAGUCAGGCCAUCUAAACUUAUUUUCCAAAGCUGGUGGAAAACCUGCCUUGUGGUUUUGCGCUCUAAGCUUGCGUUACUUUUGAGACACAAUAAAUGCAAUUUGCAGAGAGAUCCCAGUUGUGACGGGCCGAGCGGCAGUGGGGACCUGCGUUCAGGCACUGCACACGUUCAGGUCUGCCCACUGCACUGGGCCCCCAUCUGCUCGGCGGGCCCCGCGCCUGCAGGCUGGACUUUGCUUGGCCUUGCGAGGGCCCUCCCUUCUGCAGACGACCGCUCGUACAGGAAGCUGCAUGAUGAAGACAACAGCAUCAGAAAGAGGGAGCUGGAUCUCUGCGUUACCACGUGGAGGAGAGAUGCCUGACCAGGAUAUCUGCAAGGAUUUUGUGUACGCCAGAAACAGAGCUUGACUCAAGGGAGCAAGUUUCCAGAACUAGACGCCUGUCGCCACGUUCUGCAAGCCCCCGCUGGACCCAGAGGUGCCAACUGACUGAAUCGCUCCUGGGGCUGCAUUGGCUUGGGCAGGAUUUCUUUCUGCCCUGCUGUGGUCCCCAACCCCCAGGCCUCGACCGGUACCAGCCCAUGGCCCGUUAGGGACCCGGCCACAGAGCUCUAAGGCCCCCUCACCCCCAUCCCUGGAAACAUUGCCUUCCAUGAAACUGGUCCCUAGUGCUGAAAAGUUUGGGGACCGCUGUGCCCCUGGAAGGUGCUGGUAACCAGAACACUGUCUCUGAAGAGGCAGGCCCGGGCCUCCCCCAGAGCACACGGUCUUCCCCAGCCUCCGCCCCUCUCUGUUCUCCACCUGGCACCUCAUCCUUCCCUGGGCUUCCAAUCUGAAGGAGGUGCGGCUCUCCCAACCUUCUCCCCUCCCUCAUUCCUCUCUCCAUUGCCUCACUUCCCCCCUAAAAAGAAAUUCCAAUCUUAUAAAAGACAAAGCUCCUUUUUAAUUUAAAAUGAUUUUUUAAAAUUAAUUUAUUUUUUGGAGACAGGGUUCCACUAUGCUGCCCAGGCUAGUCUUGAACUCCUAAUCUGGAUUAGGAGUUCAAGCUUGGAUUGUAGGCAUGAACCACUGUGCCCGGCCCUAAAAUGUUUUUUCAUUUCUAUCUAUCUUUUUUUUUUUUUUUUA